Long non-coding RNA from Notothenia coriiceps (black rockcod), 135 nucleotides. RefSeq lists it as uncharacterized. The record is from RefSeq and is a predicted model, not a curated record. Lineage: Eukaryota; Metazoa; Chordata; Actinopteri; Perciformes; Nototheniidae. The transcript is spliced from 3 exons.
GUUUGAAAGGUCCCUGAUCCUCUGCAACCAUGAUCAAAUUGUUAAGUGUUGCCAUUGUUGCCGCAUUGUUCUUGGAAAGCCACCAGUUGUGUCCCGGUCCAUUCGUACUUCCAGGAGGUCCAGUGGUGAAGCCAG